ACUCCUACGGAAGGCAGCAGUGGGGAAUAUUGGACAAUGGGCGAAAGCCUGAUCCAGCCAUGCCGCGUGAGUGAUGAAAGGCCUUCGGGUCGUAAAAGCUCUGUGGGGGAGGGACGAAAAAAGCGUGACCUAAUACGUCUCGCCUUGACGGUACCUCCUUUAGCAAGCACCGGCUAACUCCGUGCCAGCAGCCGCGGUAAU
This 201-nucleotide ribosomal RNA is filed under the name uncultured bacterium. Its description in RNAcentral is "partial 16S ribosomal RNA". It matches the Rfam family "Bacterial small subunit ribosomal RNA", at positions 335 to 524 of the family's 1533-position model. The record is from RNAcentral.